RNAcentral lists this long non-coding RNA (427 nucleotides) under Arabidopsis thaliana (thale cress). RNAcentral describes it as "long non-coding RNA (ATHA_LNC000580)". Lineage: Eukaryota; Viridiplantae; Streptophyta; Magnoliopsida; Brassicales; Brassicaceae. The record is from RNAcentral.
CUUCGCAGGAGACAGAGGCGCUGCGUUUCCUCGUCGAGAUGUUAGUGUUUUGAUGUCAUCUAUCGCUUCCUCUGUACUCUUUUGCAAUUGUUGCUUUGUGGAGAUGAUAGAUCUGGAUCUGUGACAUUGUUCUUGUUCAAUAUAAUUGUUAUGUGACCAGUAAGAACUAAAAUCAAAUCGAGUAGUAGAACUGACCUUUGAAUGAUAGAUCUGGGAAAUUUUUUGGCUAAGAUUCGCCAGUUCGUUUUAGUCUGGAAUUAUAAACAGAGCUCUCCGUUUUAGUCUGCAAUUAGCUCGUUCACUAGUUCGAAGACGAUAGAGUAACAAUGACGAUGAAAUUGAAGAAACGACAUAAACGUGAGGUUUUGUCUGCAACAGAGAAAAUAAUAAAGAUAAUCAAUUUAUCCAAACGAUUCACUAAGGGCAA